This 1346-nucleotide ribosomal RNA is filed under the name uncultured bacterium. Its description in RNAcentral is "bacterial SSU rRNA". It matches the Rfam family "Bacterial small subunit ribosomal RNA", at positions 28 to 1381 of the family's 1533-position model. The record is from RNAcentral.
GACGAACGCUGGCGGCGUGCUUAACACAUGCAAGUCGAACGGAAAGGCCCUGCUUUUGUGGGGUGCUCGAGUGGCGAACGGGUGAGUAACACGUGAGUAACCUGCCCUUGACUUUGGGAUAACUUCAGGAAACUGGGGCUAAUACCGGAUAGGAGCUCCUGCUGCAUGGUGGGGGUUGGAAAGUUUCGGCGGUUGGGGAUGGAUUCGCGGCUUAUCAGCUUGUUGGUGGGGUAGUGGCUUACCAAGGCUUUGACGGGUAGCCGGCCUGAGAGGGUGACCGGCCACAUUGGGACUGAGAUACGGCCCAGACUCCUACGGGAGGCAGCAGUGGGGAAUAUUGCACAAUGGGCGGAAGCCUGAUGCAGCAACGCCGCGUGCGGGAUGACGGCCUUCGGGUUGUAAACCGCUUUCGCCUGUGACGAAGCGUGAGUGACGGUAAUGGGUAAAGAAGCACCGGCUAACUACGUGCCAGCAGCCGCGGUGAUACGUAGGGUGCGAGCGUUGUCCGGAUUUAUUGGGCGUAAAGGGCUCGUAGGUGGUUGAUCGCGUCGGAAGUGUAAUCUUGGGGCUUAACCCUGAGCGUGCUUUCGAUACGGGUUGACUUGAGGAAGGUAGGGGAGAAUGGAAUUCCUGGUGGAGCGGUGGAAUGCGCAGAUAUCAGGAGGAACACCAGUGGCGAAGGCGGUUCUCUGGGCCUUUCCUGACGCUGAGGAGCGAAAGCGUGGGGAGCGAACAGGCUUAGAUACCCUGGUAGUCCACGCUGUAAACGGUGGGUACUAGGUGUGGGGUCCAUUCCACGGGUUCCGUGCCGUAGCUAACGCUUUAAGUACCCCGCCUGGGGAGUACGGCCGCAAGGCUAAAACUCAAAGGAAUUGACGGGGCCCCGCACAAGCGGCGGAGCAUGCGGAUUAAUUCGAUGCAACGCGUAGAACCUUACCUGGGUUUGACAUGGAUCGGGAGCGCUCAGAGAUGGGUGUGCCUCUUUUGGGGUCGGUUCACAGGUGGUGCAUGGCUGUCGUCAGCUCGUGUCGUGAGAUGUUGGGUUAAGUCCCGCAACGAGCGCAACCCUUGUUCACUGUUGCCAGCACGUUAUGGUGGGGACUCAGUGGAGACCGCCGGGGUCAACUCGGAGGAAGGUGGGGAUGACGUCAAGUCAUCAUGCCCCUUAUGUCCAGGGCUUCACGCAUGCUACAAUGGCUGGUACAGAGAGUGGCGAGCCUGUGAGGGUGAGCGAAUCUCGGAAAGCCGGUCUCAGUUCGGAUUGGGGUCUGCAACUCGACCUCAUGAAGUCGGAGUCGCUAGUAAUCGCAGAUCAGCAACGCUGCGGUGAAUACGUUCCCGGGGCU